Cololabis saira (Pacific saury) is the source of this 851-nucleotide long non-coding RNA. RefSeq lists it as uncharacterized. The record is from RefSeq and is a predicted model, not a curated record. The transcript is spliced from 4 exons. Lineage: Eukaryota; Metazoa; Chordata; Actinopteri; Beloniformes; Belonidae.
GUCAAAAAGGUCAACAUUGAGCAGAAAGAAAACCAGAUCACCUGCAGCUCAGAGGGGAUUUAUCCUGAACCAGAACUCACCUGGACCACCAGUCCUCCAUCCAGCAGGAACCUGCAGAAUCCACCAACAGUCCAGCCGACUGAACAGCAGCUUUACAACAUCAACAGCUCUCUGGUUCUUUCAGAUAGUGAUACGGACCUGGACUACAUCUGCACUGUCAGCACUGCAGCAAACAAGAGGAGAUCCACUCUGAUGAAACCAGCUGUUUUGAAUAGUUCAGACUCUGAAGCAACAAUCUCCUGCUGGACCUCCAAGACUCCUCUAACAAACCUCACCUGGAGAUUCAACCACAGUCAGAUCAUCCUAACGCAGAACAGAACUGAAGACACCUACACACCUUCAGAGAGGUGGAAGCAGCAUGUGAUAUCCGUGUCAGAGACAGGAAGUCUCACACUGAAGGAUUUAUCUUCAGACCAGACAGGAACUUACACAUGUGAACUCAGUGAUGGCGAGGAAACUUACAGAAAACACACCUUUCUUCACAUAACAGUUGCAGACCGUCAUACUGUUGGAUUGGUGGUUGGAGUUAUUGUAGUAGUUUUAGCCGCUGGAGUCGUAGUCUACGUACUUCACAAGAAGAAUAUCUGCUAAAUGGUGUGAAAGAACAAGAUCAUCCAUAAGUUCAUAGUUGACACAUAAAAGUUUACCACUGAGAACAUGAUCCUCAAAACUGUUAGAGCCAUCUAGAAAAACAAUAAGGAAAUACGUAUAUAUCUCGGCUGGACUUCUCAACAUUCCCACUUCGCACCUCAGCACCAUGGGUGCCCGAGCCUUCAGGUGCUCAGCACCCA